UACGUAGGGUGCAGGCGUUAAUCGGAAUUACUGGGCGUAAAGCGUGCGCAGGCGGCUUCCUAAGUCAGAUGUGAAAUCCCCGGGCUCAACCUGGGAACUGCGUUUGAAACUGGGAGGCUAGAGUGCGGCAGAGGGGGGUGGAAUUCCACGUGUAGCAGUGAAAUGCGUAGAUAUGUGGAGGAACACCGAUGGCGAAGGCAGCCCCCUGGGCCAGCACUGACGCUCAUGCACGAAAGCGUGGGGAGCAAACAGG
RNAcentral lists this ribosomal RNA (253 nucleotides) under uncultured bacterium. RNAcentral describes it as "partial 16S ribosomal RNA". It matches the Rfam family "Bacterial small subunit ribosomal RNA", at positions 524 to 776 of the family's 1533-position model. RNAcentral also lists the same sequence under 1 other name. The record is from RNAcentral.